Molecule: ribosomal RNA, 440 nt
Filed under: uncultured bacterium
Lineage: Bacteria
Description: partial 16S ribosomal RNA
Rfam family: Bacterial small subunit ribosomal RNA
Source: RNAcentral
CCUACGGGUGGCAGCAGUGGGGAAUAUUGCACAAUGGGGGAAACCCUGAUGCAGCGACGCCGCGGGAGUGAAGAAGUAAUUCGUUACGGAAAGCUCUAUCAGCCGGGAAGAAAAUGACGGUACCUGAGCAAGAAGCCCCGGCUAACUACGUGCCAGCAGCCGCGGUAAUACGCAGGGGGCAAGCGUAAUCCGGAUUAACUGGGUGUAAAGGGAGCGUAGACGGUGCGGCAAGUCUGGCGUGAAAUGCCGGAGCUUAACUGCGGAACUGCUUUGGAAACUGGCGAACUAGAGUGCGGGAGGGGUAAGCGGAAUUCCUAGUGUAGCGGUGAAAUGCGUAGAUAUUAGGAGGAACCCCGGUGGCGAAGGCGGCUUACUGGACCGUAACUGACGUUGAGGCUCGAAAGCGUGGGGAGCAAACAGGAUUAGAUACCCUAGUAGUC